UACGGGGGGGGCAAGCGUUGUUCGGAAUUACUGGGCGUAAAGGGCCAGUAGGCGGCCAACUAAGUCGAAUGUGAAAUCCCCAGGCUCAACUUGGGAACUGCAUCCGAUACUGGAUGGCUUGAAUUCGGGGGAGGGAUGCAGAAUUCCAGGUGUAGCGGUGAAAUGCGUAGAUAUCUGGAGGAACACCUGUGGCGAAAGCGGCUCACUGGACCACAACUGACGCUGAUGCACGAAAGCUAGGGGAGCAAACAGG
Molecule: ribosomal RNA, 253 nt
Filed under: uncultured bacterium
Lineage: Bacteria
Description: partial 16S ribosomal RNA
Rfam family: Bacterial small subunit ribosomal RNA
Source: RNAcentral